UUAAUUGAAGAGUUUGAUCAUGGCUCAGAUUGAACGCUGGCGGCAGGCCUAACACAUGCAAGUCGAGCGGCAGCACAGAGGAACUUGUUCCUUGGGUGGCGAGCGGCGGACGGGUGAGUAAUGCCUGGGAAAUUGCCCGGUAGAGGGGGAUAACCAUUGGAAACGAUGGCUAAUACCGCAUAACCUCGCAAGAGCAAAGCAGGGGACCUUCGGGCCUUGCGCUACCGGAUAUGCCCAGGU
This 240-nucleotide ribosomal RNA is filed under the name Vibrio cholerae. RNAcentral describes it as "partial 16S ribosomal RNA". It matches the Rfam family "Bacterial small subunit ribosomal RNA", at positions 1 to 236 of the family's 1533-position model. Lineage: Bacteria; Pseudomonadati; Pseudomonadota; Gammaproteobacteria; Vibrionales; Vibrionaceae. The record is from RNAcentral.